GACGAACGCUGGCGGCGUGCCUAACACAUGCAAGUCGAACGGAGUGUUUAUUUAUAAACACUUAGUGGCGAACGGGUGAGUAACGCGUAGACAACCUACCCUCUAGAUGGGGACAACACCGCGAAAGUGGUGCUAAUACCGAAUGUUGUAAUGUUGUUGCAUAAUGAUAUUACUAAGGGUGGCCUCUAUAUAAAAGCUACCGCUAGAAGAUGGGUCUGCGUCUGAUUAGCUAGUUGGUGAGAUAACAGCUCACCAAGGCAAUGAUCAGGAGCCGGUCUGAGAGGAUGAACGGCCACACUGGGACUGAGACACGGCCCAGACUCCUACGGGAGGCAGCAGUAGGGAAUUUUCGGCAAUGGGGGCAACCCUGACCGAGCAACGCCGCGUGAGUGAUGAAGGUCGCAAGAUUGUAAAACUCUGUUGUAAAGGAAGAACACUAAGGAUAGAAUCCUUAGUUGACGGUACUUUACCAGAAAGCCACGGCUAACUACGUGCCAGCAGCCGCGGUAA
This 510-nucleotide ribosomal RNA is filed under the name uncultured bacterium. RNAcentral's name for it is "partial 16S ribosomal RNA". It matches the Rfam family "Bacterial small subunit ribosomal RNA", at positions 28 to 523 of the family's 1533-position model. The record is from RNAcentral.